GACGAACGCUGGCGGCGUGCUUAACACAUGCAAGUCGAACGGAAAGGCCCUGCUUUUGUGGGGUGCUCGAGUGGCGAACGGGUGAGUAACACGUGAGUAACCUGCCCUUGACUUUGGGAUAACUUCAGGAAACUGGGGCUAAUACCGGAUAGGAGCUCCUGCUGCAUGGUGGGGGUUGGAAAGUUUCGGCGGUUGGGGAUGGACUCGCGGCUUAUCAGCUUGUUGGUGGGGUAGUGGCUUACCAAGGCUUUGACGGGUAGCCGGCCUGAGAGGGUGACCGGCGACAUUGGGACUGAGAUACGGCCCAGACUCCUACAGGAGGCAGCAGUGGGGAAUAUUGCACAAUGGGCGGAAGCCUGAUGCAGCAACGCCGCGUGCGGGAUGACGGCCUUCGGGUUGUAAACCGCUUUCGCCUGUGACGAAGCGUGAGUGACGGUAAUGGGUAAAGAAGCACCGGCUAACUACGUG
This 468-nucleotide ribosomal RNA is filed under the name uncultured bacterium. RNAcentral's name for it is "partial 16S ribosomal RNA". It matches the Rfam family "Bacterial small subunit ribosomal RNA", at positions 28 to 507 of the family's 1533-position model. The record is from RNAcentral.